UGAUCCAUGUGGGUUUCGAACCCACGACCUUCGGUACAUAAGACCGACGCUCUAACCACUGAGCUAAUGGAUCUU
This 75-nucleotide transfer RNA is filed under the name Plasmodium yoelii yoelii. RNAcentral's name for it is "tRNA-Ile". Lineage: Eukaryota; Apicomplexa; Aconoidasida; Haemosporida; Plasmodiidae. The record is from RNAcentral.